RNAcentral lists this ribosomal RNA (446 nucleotides) under uncultured bacterium. RNAcentral's name for it is "bacterial SSU rRNA". It matches the Rfam family "Bacterial small subunit ribosomal RNA", at positions 331 to 793 of the family's 1533-position model. The record is from RNAcentral.
CCAGACUCCUACGGGAGGCAGCAGUGGGGAAUAUUGCACAAUGGGGGGAACCCUGAUGCAGCGACGCCGCGUGAAGGAAGAGGUAUCUCGGUAUGUAAACUUCUAUCAGCAGGGAAGAAAGAGGACGGUACCUGACUAAGAAGCCCCGGCUAACUACGUGCCAGCAGCCGCGGUAAUACGUAGGGGGCAAGCGUUAUCCGGAUUUACUGGGCGUAAAGGGAGCGUAGGCGGCCUGCCAAGUCUGAUGUGAAAUACCGGGGCUCAACCCCGGGGCUGCAUUGGAAACUGGCAGGCUGGGGUGCCGGAGAGGCAGGCGGAAUUCCUAGUGUAGCGGUGAAAUGCGUAGAUAUUAGGAGGAACACCAGUGGCGAAGGCGGCCUGCUGGACGGUGACUGACGCUGAGGCUCGAAAGCGUGGGGAGCAAACAGGAUUAGAUACCCGCGUAU